CUAAAUUAGAAGUGGAGGCAGACAGUAGCUCUAUGCCAUGUUCAUGUACUAGGCAUUGAGUAUGUUCACACUGGCAAAGGGACACAAUGAAGUACCUUUAAAACACUGGCGCACGAUUGUAGAACAUGAGGAUGAAUUCAUCGAGGAGUGAGCCACAGCAGCCUACUUUACGGAACAAACACACGUGGCUGUGCUUUACCUGAAGCAGGAGAAGCAGGUUUGCUGGCUGGCUCCAACUUUGGAGGAGGCUUUGCUGGAGUGGGCGUGUCCUCCUCUGGAGAAACAAGACAAAUGUAUUUAUGCAUGAGUGUGUGCUAUGUUUAAGGGUUAUGAUUACCUGUCGCAGAGAAGAGUGCACUGGCAUAAAAUUAACCCUUUGAAAAACAUUAUUAAAACAAUAUGAAAGAGGCAUGCAAUUUGUCUAUGUUCUGAAGGACAACAGAGGUCAUCACAUGAUCCAACGUGUGGUCGGACCUGGGAG
Long non-coding RNA from Cyclopterus lumpus (lumpfish), 481 nucleotides. RefSeq lists it as uncharacterized. The transcript is spliced from 3 exons. The record is from RefSeq and is a predicted model, not a curated record. NCBI's taxonomy places the organism in Eukaryota, Metazoa, Chordata, Actinopteri, Perciformes, Cyclopteridae.